Engraulis encrasicolus (European anchovy) is the source of this 318-nucleotide long non-coding RNA. RefSeq lists it as uncharacterized. The record is from RefSeq and is a predicted model, not a curated record. Lineage: Eukaryota; Metazoa; Chordata; Actinopteri; Clupeiformes; Engraulidae. The transcript has 3 exons.
UGCUCUGGAUAAGAUGGACGUCUUUCCUCUGACCUGUUACCAAGACAGCUGGAUGUGUAAGAAGCUGGAACUAAGUCACUGAAGAAGUAAACCGAUGAAAACCGAUUUGGAUUGUCUGAGAGAUGACACAAGUAAAAGGAGAAGAAUGCUGCUCAGCUGGGUUGGCGAAGCUCUUGGAUAUCAUCAGCACAUGUAUGAAGCACAGAGUCAUUCCGGUAGGCACAGAGUCGUUCCUCGAUGGACGUGAUGACCUGGGACCAAAACCGCUUAAUGUGUAUGAGGCUGUGUCUGCAUCGAGGGAAGAACCCAGCACUGAAA